Molecule: ribosomal RNA, 497 nt
Filed under: uncultured bacterium
Lineage: Bacteria
Description: partial 16S ribosomal RNA
Rfam family: Bacterial small subunit ribosomal RNA
Source: RNAcentral
GAUGAACGCUGGCGGCGUGCUUAAUACAUGCAAGUCGAGCGAACAGACGCGGAGCUUGCUCCUCUCACGUUAGCCGCGCACGUGUGUGUAACACGUGUAUAACCUACCUAUAUUUCUGGGAUCACUUCGGGAAACCGGAGCUAAUACCGGAUAAUCUCUUGAACCGCAUUGUUCAAUAGAGAAAUACGGUUUUGCUGUCUCUACUCGCUGGUUCCACGCCGCAUUAGCUAGUUGUGAGGUUAACGGCUUACCAAGGCAACGAUGCGUAGCCGACUGGAGAGAGUGAUCGGCCGCACUAGAGCUGAGACACGGUCAAGGCUCCUACGGGAGGCAGCAGUAGGGAAUCUGAGGCAAUGGGCGGAAGCCUGGCGGAGCGGCGCCACGUGAGAGGUGAAAAUCUCCGGAUCGUAAUGCUCUGUUAUUAGGGAAGAACAAAUGUGUAAGGAACUAUGCACGUCUUGACGGUACCUAGUCAGAAAGCAACGGCUAACUACGUG